GGAGGGAUGGCCGAGUGGCUUAAGGCGCACGCUUGGAAAGCGUGUUUAGGGUAAUACCCUAACGUGGGUUCGAAUCCCACUCCCUCCGCCA
RNAcentral lists this transfer RNA (91 nucleotides) under Rhodospirillaceae bacterium. RNAcentral describes it as "tRNA-Ser". It matches the Rfam family "tRNA". Rfam says of the family: Transfer RNA (tRNA) molecules are approximately 80 nucleotides in length. Their secondary structure includes four short double-helical elements and three loops (D, anti-codon, and T loops). Lineage: Bacteria; Pseudomonadati; Pseudomonadota; Alphaproteobacteria; Rhodospirillales; Rhodospirillaceae. The record is from RNAcentral. RNAcentral also lists the same sequence under 1 other name.